GGGGGAUAGCUACUGGAAACGGUAGCUAAUACCGCAUAACGUCGCAAGACCAAAGAGGGGGACCUUCGGGCCUCUUGCCAUCGGAUGUGCCCAGAUGGGAUUAGCUUGUAGGUGAGGUAACGGCUCACCUAGGCGACGAUCCCUAGCUGGUCUGAGAGGAUGACCAGCCACACUGGAACUGAGACACGGUCCAGACUCCUACGGGAGGCAGCAGUGGGGAAUAUUGCACAAUGGGCGCAAGCCUGAUGCAGCCAUGCCGCGUGUAUGAAGAAGGCCUUCGGGUUGUAAAGUACUUUCAGCGGGGAGGAAGGGAGUGAGGUUAAUAACCUCAUUCAUUGACGUUACCCGCAGAAGAAGCACCGGCUAACUCCGUGCCAGCAGCCGCGGUAAUACGGAGGGUGCGAGCGUUAAUCGGAAUUACUGGGCGUAAAGCGCACGCAGGCGGUCUGUCAAGUCGGAUGUGAAAUCCCCGGGCUCAACCUGGGAACUGCAUUCGAAACUGGCAGGCUGGAGUCUUGUAGAGGGGGGUAGAAUUCCAGGUGUAGCGGUGAAAUGCGUAGAGAUCUGGAGGAAUACCGGUGGCGAAGGCGGCCCCCUGGACAAAGACUGACGCUCAGGUGCGAAAGCGUGGGGAGCAAACAGGAUUAGAUACCCUGGUAGUCCACGCUGUAAACGAUGUCGACUUGGAGGUUGUUCCCUUGAGGAGUGGCUUCCGGAGCUAACG
RNAcentral lists this ribosomal RNA (724 nucleotides) under uncultured bacterium. RNAcentral's name for it is "bacterial SSU rRNA". It matches the Rfam family "Bacterial small subunit ribosomal RNA", at positions 138 to 857 of the family's 1533-position model. The record is from RNAcentral.